RNAcentral lists this ribosomal RNA (826 nucleotides) under Janthinobacterium sp. HH104. RNAcentral describes it as "bacterial SSU rRNA". It matches the Rfam family "Bacterial small subunit ribosomal RNA", at positions 8 to 829 of the family's 1533-position model. The record is from RNAcentral. Lineage: Bacteria; Pseudomonadati; Pseudomonadota; Betaproteobacteria; Burkholderiales; Oxalobacteraceae.
AGAGUUUGAUCCUGGCUCAGAUUGAACGCUGGCGGCAUGCCUUACACAUGCAAGUCGAACGGCAGCACGGAGCUUGCUCUGGUGGCGAGUGGCGAACGGGUGAGUAAUAUAUCGGAACGUACCCUAGAGUGGGGGAUAACGUAGCGAAAGUUACGCUAAUACCGCAUACGAUCUAAGGAUGAAAGUGGGGGAUCGCAAGACCUCAUGCUCGUGGAGCGGCCGAUAUCUGAUUAGCUAGUUGGUAGGGUAAAAGCCUACCAAGGCAUCGAUCAGUAGCUGGUCUGAGAGGACGACCAGCCACACUGGAACUGAGACACGGUCCAGACUCCUACGGGAGGCAGCAGUGGGGAAUUUUGGACAAUGGGCGAAAGCCUGAUCCAGCAAUGCCGCGUGAGUGAAGAAGGCCUUCGGGUUGUAAAGCUCUUUUGUCAGGGAAGAAACGGUGAGAGCUAAUAUCUCUUGCUAAUGACGGUACCUGAAGAAUAAGCACCGGCUAACUACGUGCCAGCAGCCGCGGUAAUACGUAGGGUGCAAGCGUUAAUCGGAAUUACUGGGCGUAAAGCGUGCGCAGGCGGUUUUGUAAGUCUGAUGUGAAAUCCCCGGGCUCAACCUGGGAAUUGCAUUGGAGACUGCAAGGCUAGAAUCUGGCAGAGGGGGGUAGAAUUCCACGUGUAGCAGUGAAAUGCGUAGAUAUGUGGAGGAACACCGAUGGCGAAGGCAGCCCCCUGGGUCAAGAUUGACGCUCAUGCACGAAAGCGUGGGGAGCAAACAGGAUUAGAUACCCUGGUAGUCCACGCCCUAAACGAUGUCUACUAGUUGUCGGGUC